AGAUUGAACGCUGGCGGCAGGCCUAACACAUGCAAGUCGAGCGGUAGAGAGGUGCUUGCACCUCUUGAGAGCGGCGGACGGGUGAGUAAAGCCUAGGAAUCUGCCUGGUAGUGGGGGGAUAACGCUCGGAAACGGACGCUAAUACCGCAUACGUCCUACGGGAGAAAGCAGGGGACCUUCGGGCCUUGCGCUAUCAGAUGAGCCUAGGCCGGAUUAGCUAGUUGGUGAGGUAAUGGCUCACCAAGGCGACGAUCCGUAACUGGUCUGAGAGGAUGAUCAGUCACACUGGAACUGAGACACGGUCCAGACUCCUACGGGAGGCAGCAGUGGGAAUAUGGACAUGGGCGAAAGCCUGAUCAGCCAUGCCGCGUGUGUGAAGAGGUCUUCGGAUUGUAAAGCAACUUUAAGUGGGAGGAAGGCAGUUAACCUAAUACGUUAGUGUUUUGAGUUUACCGACAGAAUAAGCGACCGUACUAACUGUCGUGCCAGCACG
This 493-nucleotide ribosomal RNA is filed under the name uncultured soil bacterium. RNAcentral describes it as "bacterial SSU rRNA". It matches the Rfam family "Bacterial small subunit ribosomal RNA", at positions 26 to 515 of the family's 1533-position model. The record is from RNAcentral.